This 489-nucleotide ribosomal RNA is filed under the name uncultured bacterium. RNAcentral's name for it is "bacterial SSU rRNA". It matches the Rfam family "Bacterial small subunit ribosomal RNA", at positions 32 to 512 of the family's 1533-position model. The record is from RNAcentral.
GACGACGCUGGCGGCGUGGAUUAGGCAUGCAAGUCGAACGGUAUCAUCCUUUCGGGGGUGAGAGAGUGGCGAACUGGUGAGUAACACGUAGGUUAUCUACCCUCAAGACGGGACAACCCAGGGAAACUUGGGCUAAUACCGGAUGUGAGCAACUUUUAGUUGUUUGAAAGUGGCGUAAGCUGUCGCUUGGGGAUGAGCUUGCGUCCUAUUAGUUAGUUGGUGAGGUAACGGCUCACCUAGGCAAUGAUAGGUAGGCGGCCUUAACGGGUGGUCGCCCACACUGGGAUUGAGAUACGGCCCAGACUCCUACGGGAGGCAGCAGUCGAGAAUAGUCUACAAUGGUCGGAAGACUGAUAGUGCGACGCCGCGUGAACGAUGAAUCCCUUCGGGGUGUAAAGUUCUUUUAUAUGUGAGCAGUGCUUCUUAUAUUAACAGUAUGGGGAGAGAGAUAUUAGCAUAUGAAUAAGCAACGGCUAACUCCGUGCCCCC